RNAcentral lists this ribosomal RNA (203 nucleotides) under uncultured bacterium. RNAcentral's name for it is "partial 16S ribosomal RNA". It matches the Rfam family "Bacterial small subunit ribosomal RNA", at positions 307 to 526 of the family's 1533-position model. The record is from RNAcentral.
GCCUCCCUCCGCCGCCAUCAGACUCUACGGAGGCAGCAGUGGGGAAUAGUUGCACAAUGGGCGAAAGGCCUAGAUGCAGCGACGCCGCGUGAGGGACGACGGCCUUCGGGUUGUAAACCUCUUUACAGCAGGGACGAAGCGAAAGUGAACUGUACCUGCCAGAGAAGCACCGGCUAACUACGUGCCAGCCGCCGCGGUAAUAC